Molecule: non-coding RNA, 323 nt
Organism: Gasterosteus aculeatus aculeatus (three-spined stickleback)
Lineage: Eukaryota; Metazoa; Chordata; Actinopteri; Perciformes; Gasterosteidae
Source: RefSeq, a predicted model, not a curated record
CGGAAUAAUGGGCGCUUUCUCUUCUUCUAGUUUGUUUCUCGAGUGCGUGGUCCACUGCGUCAACAUAAUGUUCAUGACCGCCACCUGCUGCACCGGAGGUAAACAACACCUGUGUCAGCGAAGGAUCGGUGUGCAGGAUUUACUGGCCUCUAGCGGUGAGGUUGAAGAUUGCAACUAACCAAACACUGCGAGAGUUUACAGCGGCCUUGAUUGGUAGGCUAAUUUCAAACCAAUCUGUCCCUUUUAUUUCCAGCGAAAACAUAAUAAUGGAUUGUUUAUUUUAUUUCUUCCAAUAAAGUCCCUAAAUCCACACGGGUUCUCUA